AACGAACGCUAGCGGCGCGUUUCAAGCAUGCAAGUCGAACGAUAAUAGGCCGUGUUCUUCGGAACAUAGCUUAGGAAAGUGGCGAACGGGUGAGUAACACGUGGAUAAUCUGCCCUGUGGUUUGGGAUAGCUGGUGGAAACACUAGGUAAUACCGGAUACACUUUUUGCACACAAGUGCAAAAAGAAAGGAUGCAAUUGCACCGCCAUGGGAUGAGUCUGCGGCCUACUAGUUUGUUGGUGAGGUAAUGGCUCACCAAGACCAUAAUAGGUAGCCGGCCUGAGAGGGUGAUCGGCCACACUGGGGACUGAGACACGCCCAGACUCCUACGGGAGGCAGCAGUGGGGAAUUUGGACAAUGGGCGAAGCCUGAUCC
Molecule: ribosomal RNA, 374 nt
Filed under: uncultured bacterium
Lineage: Bacteria
Description: bacterial SSU rRNA
Rfam family: Bacterial small subunit ribosomal RNA
Source: RNAcentral